This is a long non-coding RNA of Asparagus officinalis (garden asparagus), 388 nucleotides long. RefSeq lists it as uncharacterized. The transcript has 3 exons. The record is from RefSeq and is a predicted model, not a curated record. NCBI's taxonomy places the organism in Eukaryota, Viridiplantae, Streptophyta, Magnoliopsida, Asparagales, Asparagaceae.
CUUACCCCUCUCUUUGUAAUAUAUGCUUGCAUCUAUCUCUACCCCCUCUUCUCUCUCUCUCUCUCUCUCUCUCUCUCUCUCUAUGAAACAAACCCAAUUCAUAAAGCAGAGCAGGAAGUUCUCUGAUCAGAAUUAACAUGUGGAGAUGAAUUCGAUAGUAUAUUCUAAGAGCAGAUCAUGGCCAAUGAAGUUCCUAACGUCAACAAGAAACUCGCUGCUCUUCUUCUUCUUCCUUGUUUUGGCCGGAGCCCUAAUCUCUACUCGUUGGAUCAACAACACCCUCAUGAUCAGCACCUCCUCCACUUCAAUUCCAAUCGCCACAACAACUGAACACCAAAAUGCGAUCAUUCCCUCUCCUCUUUCUGAGACACCUCAACAGCUCAAAAAA